RNAcentral lists this long non-coding RNA (221 nucleotides) under Elaeis guineensis (African oil palm). RNAcentral describes it as "long non-coding RNA (EGUI_LNC077601)". The record is from RNAcentral. Lineage: Eukaryota; Viridiplantae; Streptophyta; Magnoliopsida; Arecales; Arecaceae.
CCCCAGUGUCCUCAAGACUCUUCCAAUGGACGAACCUCUACAGUGCCAUCCGAACUCCACUGUCGGUCGACCCUCUACCAGAUCCCUCAUAAAAUUGGAUCUUUCUGGUAGAUAGUCCUCAGACGAGCUUCUACAUUAGGCAAAAUACAGAUGGACUUCUCUAGCAAUCGGACUCCUGCCAGACUUCUCCAACAGAAAGUCUCCGUCCGAGCUUCUACAGU